Molecule: ribosomal RNA, 235 nt
Filed under: uncultured bacterium
Lineage: Bacteria
Description: partial 16S ribosomal RNA
Rfam family: Bacterial small subunit ribosomal RNA
Source: RNAcentral
GCAACAUCGGUCCAAUCCUUAAAGUCAUCCUCAGUUCGGACUGGGGUCUGNAACCCGACCCCACGAAGCUGGAUUCGCUAGUAAUCGCGCAUCAGCCAUGGCGCGGUGAAUACGUUCCCGGGCCUUGUACACACCGCCCGUCAAGCCAUGAAAGCCGGGGGCGCCUGAAGUCCGUGACCGCGAGGGUCGGCCUAGGGUGAAACCGGUGAUUGGGGCCAAGUCGUAACAAGGUAAC